This 253-nucleotide ribosomal RNA is filed under the name uncultured bacterium. RNAcentral describes it as "partial 16S ribosomal RNA". It matches the Rfam family "Bacterial small subunit ribosomal RNA", at positions 524 to 776 of the family's 1533-position model. The record is from RNAcentral.
UACGUAGGGUGCAAGCGUUGUUCGGAAUUAUUGGGCGUAAAGAGCUCGUAGGCGGUUUGUCGCGUCUGCUGUGAAAACUCGGGGCUUAACUCCGGGCCUGCAGUGGGUACGGGCAGACUAGAGUGCGGUAGGGGAGACUGGAAUUCCUGGUGUAGCGGUGAAAUGCGCAGAUAUCAGGAGGAACACCGGUGGCGAAGGCGGGUCUCUGGGCCGUAACUGACGCUGAGGAGCGAAAGCGUGGGGAGCGAACAGG